This 523-nucleotide ribosomal RNA is filed under the name uncultured bacterium. RNAcentral describes it as "bacterial SSU rRNA". It matches the Rfam family "Bacterial small subunit ribosomal RNA", at positions 8 to 524 of the family's 1533-position model. The record is from RNAcentral.
AGAGUUUGAUCAUGGCUCAGAUUGAACGCUGGCGGCAUGCCUUACACAUGCAAGUCGAACGGCAGCACGGGUGCUUGCACCUGGUGGCGAGUGGCGAACGGGUGAGUAAUGCAUCGGAACAUGUCCUGUAGUGGGGGAUAGCCCGGCGAAAGCCGGAUUAAUACCGCAUACGAUCUACGGAUGAAAGCGGGGGACCUUCGGGCCUCGCGCUAUAGGGUUGGCCGAUGGCUGAUUAGCUAGUUGGUGGGGUAAAGGCCUACCAAGGCGACGAUCAGUAGCUGGUCUGAGAGGACGACCAGCCACACUGGGACUGAGACACGGCCCAGACUCCUACGGGAGGCAGCAGUGGGGAAUUUUGGACAAUGGGCGAAAGCCUGAUCCAGCAAUGCCGCGUGUGUGAAGAAGGCCUUCGGGUUGUAAAGCACUUUUGUCCGGAAAGAAAUCCUUGGCUCUAAUACAGUUGGGGGAUGACGGUACCAGAAGAAUAAGCACCGGCUAACUACGUGCCAGCAGCCGCGGUAAU